GGGACCUCCUAGAUACCUUAGUAUAACAAAAAGUAGUACAGAAUAAAAAUGAGACACAUAUUACAAGUGUGAUAUUGGUGUGUUUGGUAUGACGGAAAAUAUUUUCUUGGAACUAUUUCUAGUUCGUAUCGUUAAGUAUCAUUCAUGAUGGUUGAUCUUGUUUUUGCUAUUCUUGACAAAGGAAACAAUAGAGUGACAAAUUUUCUCACCCAUCAUGGUGGAAACAUGUUUUUUCUCUUUAGGAAUUACACUUCCUUUCUUAGGAUUGAAUGGAAAUAC
RNAcentral lists this long non-coding RNA (279 nucleotides) under Solanum tuberosum (potato). RNAcentral's name for it is "long non-coding RNA (STUB_LNC005429)". The record is from RNAcentral. Lineage: Eukaryota; Viridiplantae; Streptophyta; Magnoliopsida; Solanales; Solanaceae.